RNAcentral lists this ribosomal RNA (369 nucleotides) under uncultured bacterium. RNAcentral describes it as "bacterial SSU rRNA". It matches the Rfam family "Bacterial small subunit ribosomal RNA", at positions 527 to 896 of the family's 1533-position model. The record is from RNAcentral.
GAAGGGGGCUAGCGUUGUUCGGAUUUACUGGGCGUAAAGCGCGUGUAGGCGGGCCGUUAAGUUGGGGGUGAAAGCCCGAGGCUCAACCUCGGAACUGCCUUCAAAACUGGCGGCCUGGAGCAAGAUAGAGGCGAGUGGAAUUCCGAGUGUAGAGGUGAAAUUCGUAGAUAUUCGGAGGAACACCAGUGGCGAAGGCGACUCGCUGGAUCUUUGCUGACGCUGAGACGCAAAAGCGUGGGGAGCAAACAGGAUUAGAUACCCUGGUAGUCCACGCUGUAAACGAUGAGAGCUAGUUGUCGGCACGCAUGCGUGUCGGUGACGCAGCUAACGCAUUAAGCUCUCCGCCUGGGGAGUACGGCCGCAAGGUUA